AUUGAACGCUGGCGGCAUGCUUUACACAUGCAAGUCGAACGGUAACAGCACUUCGGUGGCUGACGAGUGGCGAACGGGUGAGUAAUACAUCGGAACGUGCCUAGUAGUGGGGGAUAACUACUCGAAAGAGUAGCUAAUACCGCAUGAGAUCUAAGGAUGAAAGCAGGGGACCUUCGGGCCUUGCGCUACUAGAGCGGCUGAUGGCAGAUUAGGUAGUUGGUGGGAUAAAAGCUUACCAAGCCGACGAUCUGUAGCUGGUCUGAGAGGACGACCAGCCACACUGGGACUGGGACACGGCCCAGACUCCUACGGGAGGCAGCAGUGGGGAAUUUUGGACAAUGGGCGCAAGCCUGAUCCAGCAAUGCCGCGUGCAGGAUGAAGGCCUUCGGGUUGUAAACUGCUUUUGUACGGAACGAAAAGCCCUCUUCUAAUACAGGAGGGUCAUGACGGUACCGUAAGAAUAAGCACCGGCUAACUACGUG
RNAcentral lists this ribosomal RNA (482 nucleotides) under uncultured bacterium. Its description in RNAcentral is "partial 16S ribosomal RNA". It matches the Rfam family "Bacterial small subunit ribosomal RNA", at positions 30 to 507 of the family's 1533-position model. The record is from RNAcentral.